AUGAAAUUUUCCGUUGCCUUGCGCCACGCAAUUCAGGAGCUUGAAGUUUGAAAGACGGGAGAUCUCCUUAAAAUACGCUUGUGUGACAGAUCUGCGUUUGGUUGCAGAAAAUUUAUUAGGGAAUAUGAAAAGACUCACUUGCUCCGUCCCCUCAGAAAAUGGCGGAAAGAGAAAAGGAAGCAACGAUACGCCGCUGUAAUUGAUAAGCGAAGUAUGAACACAGAGCCCUGCAAACGUUGCUAAAGUAGCUCUCUACUUCAUAAGACGCUAUCUGAUAAGCUACCGUAACAAGCAAUUUGCCCAAGGAAGACACUCUCUGGAAGUAAGCGCUGACCGCUACUAGUUCUGAAGAGUCCGGGCAGCUGGGAAAUAGACUACUGCAGAUUUCAUGUGCGGUUGUGCAUGGGAAAGGGAAAAGGCACGCCGCACGCUGGAACUGACCGGUGAUUUGAAUGGGGAGGGACGUGGCAAUAAACGAUCAGUUAAAGACAUAAAUGCUUCUGUGGGGUACGGUGCCUACUAUUAUGAGAAAGUUGUGAGGCGGGCGAGAUUCGGGAGGGCGUUAAGCAUAAUUUGAUGGGAAAAGACAGUAAGAGAGAAAUGUUGUACGCUUAGGAAAAAUCAUACGUGAGUACAAGUUGGACUCGUGUUUACAGCACAAGAGUUCAGCUCUCAGACUCGUGCGUGUUAAAAACAGAUUCGCGAAAUGUAUCCGCGGACCGAGAAAUCCAAUUCCCAUCUAGCUCGAAUGCUGUCAUUUCUCGAAUUCCAGGUAACCUAUCGAUUUGGCGCGCGCUUUCCUUUCUCAGAGGAUUUUUGGGAAAUCGUAUAUAUUGAACAUCUGGAAAGUUUCCCUAACAGCACGAUAAAUUUGAACCAAAGUACUGUGGUUAAGCAGAAUGAAACCUGACAGCAUUGCUUUUUUUAAGCAGACUUUCUCUAGUUCCAGUUAUAAGAGCUUCUUUCUGUAGGAUGAGUUUAUGUUUCCAGAUGUUCAAAGCAAGUAAAAGGUCACUUGCCGUAGAUCUAUCCACUUGUCCUUUACGGUUGUAAAUCAGGGAACAAACACGGCUUUUAACAAAUGCCUCUUCUUCAAGUACCCAAAAGGAUUUGCAAAAAUGGAAUACUGAACUCUGACAUUUUACCUGCAAGUGAAAUGGCACAGUAACUUUGGACAGUUCUGAAUAACGUCACCGCAGGUGAAACUCUCCUAGAAACUGAGCAGCUCCGGGACAACGAACGCAUACGAGAGGGCACAUUUUUGAAUACGGUUGCUUAAUAUUCCCCUUGUACGAGCAGCACGGCACCGACAAAUUCCAACACUUCCACGAGCAAACACACGGAGCCCUGUAAACUCUGUGCACAAGUGAUGUUGUUCUCGGCAGGAAUGUUUGCUAAAUAGUUUCCGCGACGUUGAAGCGGAUCUACCGAGGAGAUCGCUAUCGCUCCCCGCUCUUACACAAGAGCAUGAGUGCACACACGCGCAGUCUAGAAACAGUGUAAAAGUCUGCUGAGUCAACCGACAAACGAGUACCUAUUCCCACCGACGGAACGGCAGUCCGAGUCACGGUUAACCUUAGUCUCGCUCGUGUUUUUCUGUCCUGUUUCACUUCAAAGUGUCUCCUUUUAGGAGGACUAUCAGCCGAUUCAGACAGGGAUACAGUAUCACUGCACGCGACAGUGCUUCCAUUAAUUCAACUGCGACUGAACAGUGUUCGGGUUACUUUGUUCUAUUUGUGGCGAAGGAAAGAAUUACUGUUGCGAAGCAAGGGAAGUAUUUGCUGAAAAGCAAGGAAACUUUCCACAAGUCUGUGUAACACAGCAACAAAAAGGGGCGUUGAUUUGUUCUACCCCUGUACUUAAAAAGGCGGGAACAAAUUCAGCAUCGCAAGCAAAGAACUAAACUAAUUCUGAUCUUUGGCAUCUGGAGUAGACGUUGUAAAAUCCCCAGAGAUAACGUGCAAAACUGUGAACGUUUCAUGCACUGGCACUACGUCUCAAACUUUUCAAGCUGCAUACUGUCUGAAUUGUCCCGGUAUGCCAAGCCUGAAGGUUUUGGGGUAGCUGUCAGGGCUCCGGGCGGGCCUAAGGCAGCUCAGCUGCGCUAACGAACCCAUCACCUCCACGUGCCACAGGGCUGCCCGGGCACAGCUGCGCCCUGUUGGGAGCCCAGGGCAGGGCCCACCCUCCAAGCCUCUUAAACCCUGCCGGAGGCUGCAGGGAGCCACUGGGAGUUCUUGCUGCUCCUGUAGCGGGAGGCUGCUGGGCUCGCUUGCUGCUUUUUGGAUGUCUGCCUGAGAACUACAGCGGGGCCUCUUGCAGCAAGGAUUGCUUCUGGCAGCGAUGGGGACCGUGCUGGCUGUGCUCCCUCCCUGAGGGCCAUCCCGCGGCGUGAGGACUACUGCUGUGGGGUGAGUGAGAGCUGCUGUGAGGCAUUGAGGAACAAGGCUCAGCGUAAACAGGGUUGGUGUUCCGGCAGUGGGCUGUUGCUGAAGUCCCUGAGGUGUCCUCCGCUCCCCCAAGGCAGUUCUACAGGUGCUGUGGUCUCCUGCUUGUGCUGGUUGUGGGGAUGAGUAGAACGUGAUGAUGCCCUGCACUCCCCUGUGUGCCCUGUCGUUGCUGGGGGUGAGAAGCAACGUGAGGGGUUUCAAAUGUAAGUGAUGCUUGAUAAUCAGCUUUUUCAUCUUCUUCACUGUUGUUAUCCUUUUAGGGGAACUGCUGAAUUGGGGCCUGAACCUCUGAUUGAGUACCUGAGGUGAGCAACGAGUCAGCCCUGGGAGCACAGGUGAAGGUAAUUCACCUGUGCUGCCAGAAGGUGUAAAGGUUGGCUCCACCUCUCCUGGACCCCACUUAAGAGCUGACUACUGGUGAGGAAGGAUCCAUUUGGUGAGAUCCCUCCUUUUGGAGUUUUACUGUGGGAUGAGGGUAAGUCCUCUAUCUAUUCUUUUUUGUGUGUACUAACCUGUUUAGCCAAACUUGUUCAGGUUUAAGUAUAAUAUCUGUAUAUUGAUGAUGCAAUCCUGUUGCAGGGUAAUGGCUGCAAUGAUGUGUUUUUCCUGAAUGGUGAUGUGACUGAGUAAUGGGAUAACAGGUCCAGGGUGAGGAUCCUGGUGCUGUGAAGCGGUUGGCAGUCCUUCAGAGUGAGCCUUGAAGGUGCGUGGCAGCUGCAUGGGACUGGCUCAAUGAGGGGAGAAGGCCUGUUGGGUGAGAUGCAGUGGUGAAGUUGUGCUGAAGGAUUCAGUGUGUGCCUUCUGAGCCAAGGGAAGCUGAGAGUUCUGAAUCUGCAGUUGAAGAUGGAACUUACACGGAGCGUGCUGUGUAUGCACUGGAUGGUAUCAACAGGCUAUGAGAGUUGAG
Meleagris gallopavo (turkey) is the source of this 3357-nucleotide non-coding RNA. The record is from RefSeq and is a predicted model, not a curated record. NCBI's taxonomy places the organism in Eukaryota, Metazoa, Chordata, Aves, Galliformes, Phasianidae.